AUUGAACGCUGGCGGCAUGCCUUACACAUGCAAGUCGAACGGCAGCGGGGGAGAAGCUUGCUUUUCCUGCCGGCGAGUGGCGAACGGGUGAGUAAUACAUCGGAACGUGCCCUGUAGUGGGGGAUAACUAGUCGAAAGAUUAGCUAAUACCGCAUACGACCUGAGGGUGAAAGUGGGGGACCGCAAGGCCUCAUGCUAUAGGAGCGGCCGAUGUCUGAUUAGCUAGUUGGUGGGGUAAAGGCCUACCAAGGCGACGAUCAGUAGCUGGUCUGAGAGGACGAGCAGCCACACUGGGACUGAGACACGGCCCAGACUCCUACGGGAGGAAGCAGUGGGGAAUUUUGGACAAUGGGCGAAAGCCUGAUCCAGCAAUGCCGCGUGCGUGAAGAAGGCCUUCGGGUUGUAAAGCACUUUUGUCCGGAAAGAAAUGGCUCUGGUUAAUACCUGGGGUCGAUGACGGUACUAUAUGAAUAAGCACCGGCUAACUCCGUGCCAGCCGCCGCGGUAA
This 508-nucleotide ribosomal RNA is filed under the name uncultured bacterium. RNAcentral describes it as "partial 16S ribosomal RNA". It matches the Rfam family "Bacterial small subunit ribosomal RNA", at positions 30 to 523 of the family's 1533-position model. The record is from RNAcentral.